GGGGAUUUCUGAUACGAGGGAGACGCGAGGUGUUGGGACUCCCAGCCUGGGACCAGCGUGCUCUUGGAAAGCCCCUGCGAUGGCCGGAACAUCCUCGAGGAGUUCCAGCCAGGAGACAUCAGGAGACAUCAGUGGAGACCAGGAGACGUCGCUGGACACUGGCUCUCAAGCAGCCAGCAGCCAGCAGCAAAGAAGCCCGCCCGGCCAGAGAGGAAGCAUCUACGGUUCGACUCUAACACAGGGGAAGCUGAUGUCCAUGCCGUGAUGAAGAAUAGUGCCCUCUGCUCUGUACUAACAACCCACCAUGUGUGUAUCAACUGCAUGUGGGCUUGUUUGCUUUGUGGUGACAUUGGGGGAUUGAACCAAGGCCUCUCGUAUGCUAAGCAAGCACUCUACCAUUAACUACACCUCCAGCCCUUUUUGUUUGUUAAUUUUCAGUUAGGGCCUUGCUAAGGAGGCCUCAAACUUGAGAUCCUCCUGCCUUAACCCCCUGAGUAGCUGGCAGUACAGGUGUGUAACACCAUGCCUGCAAUAGUCUGUGAAACUUAGAAGUUUCAUUAGCCUGAAUUAAAGAUCUAUCUUGAGUUUAUUUUUCAUCAUAUAAUACUUACUUAAGUUAUACUCAUUCUCUUAAAGGCACCUCUUAUAAAUUGAAACAGUCUCCCCCCUUAUAAUAUAUUAAGAUUUAAUUUAAAAUGUAUUAUCAUCCAUUGAUUUCCUGCAGUUUAUUGCUGCUUAUUUUUAAGUAAAAAUUAUGCUUAUCUGUUACUAAAUUUUAUGAUAAGCAAAUGAAACAAUGUGACAGUGUUUUGUGACAGCAUUUUGAAAAAUAGUGCCAUAUUUGUGUGAGCUAAAGUUUAUAAAUUCUGAUCACAUUCCUCAUUAACA
Molecule: long non-coding RNA, 888 nt
Organism: Chinchilla lanigera (long-tailed chinchilla)
Lineage: Eukaryota; Metazoa; Chordata; Mammalia; Rodentia; Chinchillidae
Source: Ensembl